Molecule: ribosomal RNA, 254 nt
Filed under: uncultured bacterium
Lineage: Bacteria
Description: partial 16S ribosomal RNA
Rfam family: Bacterial small subunit ribosomal RNA
Source: RNAcentral
UACGUAGGGUGCGAGCGUUAAUCGGAAUUACUGGGCGUAAAGCGUGCGUAGGCGGUUCUCCAAGUCCGUUGUGAAAGCCCCCGGCUCAACUGGGGAGGGUCACGCGAUACUGAUCGACUCGAAGGCAGGAGAGGGUAGUGGAAUUCCCGGUGUAGUGGUGAAAUGCGUAGAUAUCGGGAGGAACACCAGUGGCGAAGGCGACUACCUGGCCUGUUUCUUGACGCUGAGGCGCGAAAGCUAGGGGAGCAAACGGG